GAUAUUCGAUAGAAUAUCAAAUUUCAAAAAUUGGCAUCUCUACUAAACAUUUACUGUUUUACCGAGUUCUGACCACAUUUUUACCUUGUCAUAUUAUCCACAAUAUUUUUUUUUGUAAUCUACAAAUAGCGGAAAAUAUUUGUGUAAGCCGUCCAACCAGCUUAGCCUGCUGAGUUAAUGGAACAAUUUAAAAAUGCUUGUCAUGUGAU
This 209-nucleotide long non-coding RNA is filed under the name Citrus sinensis (sweet orange). RNAcentral describes it as "long non-coding RNA (CSIN_LNC001054)". Lineage: Eukaryota; Viridiplantae; Streptophyta; Magnoliopsida; Sapindales; Rutaceae. The record is from RNAcentral.